Non-coding RNA from Callithrix jacchus (white-tufted-ear marmoset), 3441 nucleotides. The record is from RefSeq and is a predicted model, not a curated record. NCBI's taxonomy places the organism in Eukaryota, Metazoa, Chordata, Mammalia, Primates, Cebidae.
AGGCAGAGGCUCCGCUGGGGCCUGCUGAGAGUCCGGCUCCGGAAAGCCAGUGGAGAUGCUCCCUGAAGAAACAGCGGAAUCCCACGGAUCUCAGGGGUCCUGUCCUGGCCUGCGGCCUUGGAUCAUCCACCCUGGGGCGGGGUGAGGAGCAGACCUCGCCCUUCUUGGCUGGGACUGAGGGUCCGGCUUCCCCAAAGGCCUAGGCCGGCGUUCCCAGCCGCCGGCCCCAAUGGGCAGCGCCCGGCCCCGCCCGACUCCCGGAGGCCUGGCACUGCCCCUCAACCAAGAUGGCAUGGACGGCAUCGGUACGUCACGCGACACGCCCGCCGGGCUCCUACUGCGCUGCUCUUAGCUCGGCAGUUGGAGGCCGAGCAGCGGAGCGGGAAGCAUGACCUGGGGCCGGUGGUGGCCAGGGCGGCGCUUUGGCCGCUGUUGUGAGGCUGCGCGCUGGCGCUGCAGAGCGGGAUGCUGUACCCCUGGGAGAGCCUGUCACAGGAAUGCACGGAGCUGGACGGCCUCUGGAGCUUCCGCGCGGACUUCUCCGACAACCCCCGCCGGGGCUUCAAGGAAUAGCGGUGGCCACUGCGGAAGUUGAGGGCCCGGGGCAGGAGGUGCCCGGAAGCCCGGCGGAAUGAGUUGGGGAGUCCAGGCCCCCAGCAGGCUCCUUCCCCUGGGCAUCCCGCAGUUGGGGCUCCUCCGGUUUAAGAUAUGGGGUCUCACUAUAUUGCCCAGGCUGGUCUCGAAAUCCUGGCCUCAAGCUAUCCUCUUAUGUUGACCUUCCAAAGCACUGAUUACAGGCAUGAGCCAUCCAGACACUCGUCCAGACACUCUGGCCAGAGCGGUUGCUGAGGAGUGGGCCCAGGGCACCUUCAAACUCAACCCCAAUGAUGAGGACAUCCACACAGCCAAGGAGCGCCUCCUGAAGGGAAUGUGACACCCUCUUCUCUUUCUCGGGAUACAUCCACCUGCAGAGGGACCAGCCCAUUUGCUGGAGCCACUGAAUUCUGAGCUAAGUUCCUGUUCUGGGCUUCGCUGUGCAUGACCUGUCUCAGCAGGAUGGUCAAGGACCUCAUCCUCUAUGGCACCAAGGAAUCGGAUGCAUACAGCACCAGAAGCAGCCUGAUACUCCAGAAGAAAAACCACUGUGGGGCAUGUGUUUGGGCAGGGUCUUUUCAGGAAGGUGGAUGCUGGGAGGUGGCUAAGUCCAGAGAAGGGCUCCAGUCAUUCAAACAGAAACCUCCAGCCUCUGACCUUUGCAGUGAGCACAUGACCAGUGACCACCCUGAGGGACCAGGGGUCUGCUUGGCCCCAAGCUGGCUCAGAACUCAGGACUUUUCAAGCCAACUGCCACUUAAUGGCUGUACCAGGAAUAAACUUUCCUUCAACUGAUCAACUCUGCACGGGCAGCUAACAGAAGUUAACUGAAAAUGUGCCAUCGGGGCUGGUGCAUCAGUGGUUUGAUGAAUUAAAUCUAGGACCCAUCCAUCUUGCUGACGGCUGACCUGAGCAGCUACCUGAGCAGGCUGCACCGAGGCUUGCCUGAGAGUGGGCAGCACCUCAGUAAAGACCACUGAAUGACUGGAAGCCACGCUGAUGACCAGGGCCCUCGAGGUUAAUGAGACACAGAUAAAGUGUGCCCCGGACCAUUAGCAGGUGCGGUGAGGAAGAGGGCUAUGAGCAGAAAGCUCCUUGCCUGCUCACAGGAGACAACCCAGACACAGCAAAAGCCAAGAGCACAAAACCAUGCACAGCUGAGACAAAUACUGGCUUUUUAGACCUUAAAGGCAAGCAUUUUGGUAUUACAGUGACAGAAUUAGAACCUGGGGGGAAGUUGAAGGAGCUGAUGAAAACUUGAAGGAGAGGUUGGGUGUGGAGAUUCAUGUCCGUAAUCCCAGCACUUUGGGAGGCCGAGGUGGGUGUUCACUUGAGGUCAGGAGUACAAAACCAGCCUGGCCAACAGAUGGAGUGAAACUCCAUCUCUACAAAACAAAACUAAAACUAAAACAAAACAAAACAAAAAAACAAAAAAAACUAGCUGGGCAUGGUGGUGGGUGCCACCAGGAGGCCAAAGGCAGGAGAAUCACUUGAACCCUGGAGGUGGAGGUUGCAGUGAGUCAUGAGACAAGAUUGUGCCAUUGCACUUCAUUCAGCCUGGGCGAGAAAGGGAGACUCCAUCUCAAAAAAAAGGGGGUGGGGGGAGAGUUCUUAUCCCAGCCAAGUGUAAAGAUAUAUCUUUCCCAGGAAAAAAGAAACAGAAGGCAUCAAUGUGGAACAUGUAAAUUACAUGUAAAGAGACACAGUAAAAGUCAAAAGGCAUAAGUCUGAGACAUUUUAAAAGGAAAUAUAUUUCAGAAUACAAAAUUGUUAUCUCUUAUAUUCUCAUUGAGAACAAAUUAAUAUCGUAAGAAUAGCUUACUUUUUAACCAAAAUUUUAGUUUUAUGUUAGUGUAUGUUUAAUAUUUUAGCUAACUUUAAUAAGAUCUUAUAAACAAAUCUAUCCCAAUCCGUUUUGAUUGGGAUUACAGAUUAUGAGGUUAUAUGGCCGGGCACAGUGGCUCACGCCUGUAAUCCUGGCACUUUGGGAGGCUGAGGUGGGCGAUCACCUAAGGUCAGGAGUUCAAGACCAGCCUGGCCAACAUGGCAAAACUCUUACAAGAGUCUCAUAAGCCUUUUAUAACCUCAUAAUUGUUCUAUUUUAUAACUGUUUAUAUUCAUUUAGUUGUAUUUAUGCUUUAAAUUUUUCUUUAAAACAAUCCCCAAAAUCUUUAAAUUAGGCCAUAUUCUGUUUCAAAUCAUGAAAUAACUUGUUUUUGUUUUUAGAAAUCUCUAUUUAGUCUGCUCUAAUAUUUGGUUUCAGAUUUGGAUGUCUCGAUUCAGAAGACUUUGGUCUGUAAUCCCCUCUCAUGGGCUGUCUCAUACUGCACUUGGUAUCAAGAUUCUCCUGAUAUGAUGAUGGCAGGGUUGUUGUGUUCCUUCCUAUGGAAAAGUGUACAUAAAAUUGGCAUAGGAAACAGAACAUAGAGGGAAAUAUUUAAGGCAAAAAUCUUGAUAGAAAAAUCAAGAAUACAAAGUCAUAAAGCUCUAAAAUGUGGACAUUCUUAGAUAAACUGGAGUUGGGAAAAUAAAAAAAAUCAGAAAGACAUUUUAAGUACAAGUGGCCCAUCUGAAGAAACUGCGGUCAGAAGAUGGAAAUGAGCAUACCUUCAAGGCAGGAGCAAAGGCUGCCUUCGUCUUCACCAGUAGUCUCCUGGCCAGUACAGUGUGAAAUGGCAGUUAGUAGAGUGGCCGCUGGAACUGAAGGCGAGGCCUACAUCAUGAGAUGAGAUUGGGUGCAUUCAGGGUGGUGUGGCUGUAGACAAGGUCUCCAUCUUCAGAUGACCUCAGUGACAGGUCACCGUAGAAUGUUCAAAUAAACUCGUGCCACACUGUGGGGUCCAGCUG